Long non-coding RNA from Canis lupus familiaris (dog), 2149 nucleotides. RefSeq lists it as uncharacterized. The record is from RefSeq and is a predicted model, not a curated record. The transcript has 2 exons. NCBI's taxonomy places the organism in Eukaryota, Metazoa, Chordata, Mammalia, Carnivora, Canidae.
CUUCAUGCACUGGGAGCCUGAUGUGGGAUUCGAUCCUGGGUCUCCAGGAUCGCGCCCUGGGCCAAAGGCAGGCGCCAAACCGCUGCGCCACCCAGGGAUCCCCUGUCUUGAUUUUUCUGCUUCACUCCUGCUACAGCUUCUAAUUGCACUGGCGUAAAAUACAAACUCCUUACCGUCUCCUGAAUCCCUAGAAGCAGGAUGACCCAGCAUCUGCGGGCCCACCCACUCUUGAUGGCUGACUUUCUGGGACUUGGCAAGGAGCAGAGGGAGAGAUGGAGAGGCAAGCCAGCACGGCUCUGGGUGACCCAUGGGGCAGACCGUCCCCAGGUGACUAGUGACAUCUGGUCCAGGGACAGUGACAGCUGAUGCUCAGCACCCAGCGUACGUAGGAGAAACCUCGUUGACCCUUUGGUACCUGCCGUGUCUCAUCUGAAGUCUGCCAGAAUGCCCACAGUUUGUUCUUCAUUUGAGCCUUGGUAGCUUAGAAGUAUCUCUGACCCUGAGCUGUGCCUCGGUAACGUAGGACAUCAUUAGUGCUAGGCCAGUGCUAGUCUUCUGCCAAUUAGACGAGACUGCUUACUUUUUCUACUCCAGAUAUGAAUUUCACUUUGACCUCUCGGCUACUUCCAGAAGUAUUUUUGCAGAGGUAGUCAUUCUAGUAUCUACAGGCUUAUCAUAUCCUUCGGGAUUUCUUUGAAGAGACAGAGACCUUAUUUCAAGUGUCCUAGAACCUAGUGUUCCUUUAACUGAUGGUGUGGGCAAAGCUUAGAGGCCAGCAAUCAGACUGGACAGGAGGAAGAUCCACCUGCUCCUCCCGCCAAGGUCUCUCCUCCCCCUCCGCGCCCACAGCUGGAUGCCUGGCAGCAUGUGGCACCGUCGUUCCGAGGGUGGAUGCUGGAGCCUGCAUCCAACCCUGCCUCUGCCGCUUCCGAUUCACGACCUUGGCCCAGCCUGAGCCUCCCAGGUCUUGUGUUCUUAUCAGUAAAAUAGGGAUGAUAGUCCACACCUACUGGAUAGCAUGUUUGUGUGGAUCAAAUACUUUCUGAGUGCCUAGAACAGUCCCUGACGUGUCCUGGGAGUGGGUGGCUGCUGCCAUUAGCUUAUUAUUAUCACUAUUACUAUUUUAUGCAGAUAAACUGACACUCUUGCUUUAUGUGAGAGAUGUGGAGAGAUUCAUUCCUCUGGCAAAGCCUUAUUUAGGUUGAAGGCAGCCUCUGCGGUCACAUAGUCCCUGAAGAGAAGUUCAUGUGAGGUGGCCUGUUACCCGACGAGUCCUUUAUCAGAACAGAGUGCUUUACAAACAUCCUCUUGACCUGGCAGAUGGGACCUUGAGCGUCCAGGGUGCCUGCCGUGCUCCCACUGGCUUGGUCCUCAGGGCCCAGCAAUCUCAGGGCACCACACCCUCUCCUGCCGUGGUAUCCUAAGAGAGGCCCAGCCAGCUCAGUGCCAGCCAUUGGCCCCGGGUGUGAAUUGCGGCCCCAGGGUGGUAUUGUUUAUUUAGAAGUAACCAGAAUGCCUCCGCCUGGCGAACUCACCCCUGUAGCACGAAGCCUGACUUUUUGCAUAGUGCUGGGCACCUGCUUGCAUGUACUCAGUCCCCUCUCAUGUGCAGUCCAAGUGCCGUCCAAGGAGAGCAUGCAGGCACCAAGGCGCAUUCAUCCAGCAAAUACCCAAAACCCAUCUACUUCCGUGUGUGCCGGGAGCUACGGUGACUAAGGCAGCAGUCUCAGCACGCAGGUGCACACGGCCUGUAGAAGGAGCCAGAUUGACCCCGUGACGGCAGCCUGAGAAGGGGCACUGAAAGGGAGGACCCCAGAGGAGAGGGACACCCAGCAUGACGGGCUCUGGAGGAGUUAUUCCUGCACCAUUGGUUGAGUGACUGGUACAUGCCAGCCAUGCACCGGCGCUGCCGAGCCCAGGACACAUAGGGGCUCGUCUGGCGUCUCAGAAGUGACAUUGGAGUGCUGCCCCAUAUACAAAUGGAACUACUUCAUGGCUCCAGAACCCUUUCAUGUGGUUUGAGUUAGAAGUGGUAUUGGUUGUUUCUGAUCCCGAAACCUGUUGUGUGACACGGAUGCCAGACUCUGACUCUUUGUACCACACUGUGCUUUCAAGUGGCUAGUAAAAUGAUUCCAGAAUAUGUAAUGUA